AAUGAAAGAUAACGGAUUGGGCUUCGGUCCAAAUGGAAAAGGAUUGAUAAAAUGAAAAUACAAGCUGCAUAAGAAUGAAAAUUCUUGUUUGACCAGACUGGGCCUAAGCCCAAUAGAAGGAAGGGUGGCAGAAAGGAAAUGGGGGUUGCGAAUGGGAGAGGUUUUAUUCGGCCUGAUAUGGGCCCAAAAAUGACGAAAAACAAAAAAAACAGGGGCAGUGGGAAUAAACAAAAAAAAUAGAAUAAUAAAAAAAACAUGAAAUAAAAAAACUAAACGACAAAAUGGGCCUCAACCCAAUUUUAGAAACUUCUUAGGGUUUCCCUACCCCCCAAACCUUGAGAGAUGACUUCAUUCGAACCAAACACCCCAACUUCGAUCUUUUUCUUCUCCCGUGAACACCAUCAUCGCCGAAUCUCACCAUCACCAUCUCAGCCACUGUAACUGGCCAUCGGAGGUACUAUCAGAGACGCAGGUCACUACCAAAAACGUCAUCGACGACCACCAUUCCGAUCAACAAAACCAAUGCACCAUCGCGCCAUAAAAACCCUUACGCGUGCAAUCCGCUCCGGUCAGCUUUCAUGCCACCGGAGUCACAACUACCCUCUAUUAUCACCAUCAACAGCCUCGCCGGUGACGACAAACAUCACCAGGACAACGUCUGAUUGCAACACCAUGACCCUGCUCCAAGUUCGUCUCCGCAAGCGAGAACGAAACGUUCUCACUCCUGCAACUCAUCCCC
This 739-nucleotide long non-coding RNA is filed under the name Vigna radiata. RNAcentral describes it as "long non-coding RNA (VRAD_LNC015647)". Lineage: Eukaryota; Viridiplantae; Streptophyta; Magnoliopsida; Fabales; Fabaceae. The record is from RNAcentral.